ACUCCAAACAGCGAACUUGAACCUACUGAAGCCAACAUACACAGUAAGGACCCGAAUGGCUAGGGAUUAAGAGAAUGUGCUGUUAAACUCAGUAGCCUCGCUGUGAAUAGCCAAUAUCAUCAUAGGUUAAAGGACCACUCAUACCACUGUAGCAUCGAGAAGACCACUGACGAGUGAGUAGACAUCAAUGUGGUUCUCGUGUUGGUCAUGCUCGUGUAAGUUAUUCUCUAACAAUCACCUGCACCUUCACCCCAGUAUCUCUACACU
Molecule: long non-coding RNA, 267 nt
Filed under: Elaeis guineensis (African oil palm)
Lineage: Eukaryota; Viridiplantae; Streptophyta; Magnoliopsida; Arecales; Arecaceae
Description: long non-coding RNA (EGUI_LNC056831)
Source: RNAcentral